ACUCCUACGGGAGGCAGCAGUAGGGAAUCUUCCACAAUGGACGCAAGUCUGAUGGAGCAACGCCGCGUGAGUGAAGAAGGUUUUUGGAUCGUAAAGCUCUGUUGUUGGUGAAGAAGGAUAGAGGUAGUAACUGGCCUUUAUUUGACGGUAAUCAACCAGAAAGUCACGGCUAACUACGUGCCAGCAGCCGCGGUAAUACGUAGGUGGCAAGCGUUGUCCGGAUUUAUUGGGCGUAAAGCGAGCGCAGGCGGAAAAAUAAGUCUAAUGUGAAAGCCCUCGGCUUAACCGAGGAACUGCAUCGGAAACUGUUUUUCUUGAGUGCAGAAGAGGAGAGUGGAACUCCAUGUGUAGCGGUGGAAUGCGUAGAUAUAUGGAAGAACACCAGUGGCGAAGGCGGCUCUCUGGUCUGCAACUGACGCUGAGGCUCGAAAGCAUGGGUAGCGAACAGGAUUAGAUACCCUGGUAGUC
This 468-nucleotide ribosomal RNA is filed under the name uncultured bacterium. Its description in RNAcentral is "bacterial SSU rRNA". It matches the Rfam family "Bacterial small subunit ribosomal RNA", at positions 335 to 795 of the family's 1533-position model. The record is from RNAcentral.